CCUACGGUGUGCAGCAGUCGAGAAUCAUUCACAAUGGGGGAAACCCUGAUGGUGCGACGCCGCGUGGGGGAAUGAAGGUCUUCGGAUUGUAAACCCCUGUCAUGUGGGAGCAAAUUAAAAAUAUAGUACUACAAGAGGAAGAGACGGCUAACUCUGUGCCAGCAGCCGCGGUAAUACAGAGGUCUCAAGCGUUGUUCGGAAUCACUGGGCGUAAAGCGUGAGUAGGCUGUUUCGUAAGUCGUGUGUGAAAGGCGCGUGCUCAACCCGCGGACGGCACAUGAUACUGCGAGACUAGAGUAAUGGAGGGGGAACCGGAAUUCUCGGUGUAGCAGUGAAAUGCGUAGAUAUCGAGAGGAACACUCGUGGCGAAGGCGGGUUCCUGGACAUUAACUGACGCUGAGGCACGAAGGCCAGGGGAGCGAAAGGGAUUAGAUACCCCGGUAGUC
Molecule: ribosomal RNA, 446 nt
Filed under: uncultured bacterium
Lineage: Bacteria
Description: partial 16S ribosomal RNA
Rfam family: Bacterial small subunit ribosomal RNA
Source: RNAcentral